This 271-nucleotide long non-coding RNA is filed under the name Gossypium barbadense (sea-island cotton). RNAcentral's name for it is "long non-coding RNA (GBAR_LNC009847)". The record is from RNAcentral. Lineage: Eukaryota; Viridiplantae; Streptophyta; Magnoliopsida; Malvales; Malvaceae.
GGCGAUUCAACCAACAAUGAGAAUCAGAAGUCUGGCAGGAAAGCUUCUAAUCCUGCAAAACAAGAUCAUACUGAGAAUGGGCCCCAAAUCAGUCCUGCACUGCCAAGCUACAUGGCAGCAACUGAAUCUGCCAAGGCUAAGCUGAGACUGCAAGGCUCUCCUCGAUUUAGCCAGGACGGAGGUGAAAAAAUUAACCUCGCUCGUCGCCAGUCUCUGCCAAUUUCAGCCAAUAGUAAAAUCAACUCACAGUCACCAAGGACGCAGAGACUGG